Molecule: long non-coding RNA, 4837 nt
Filed under: Sus scrofa (pig)
Lineage: Eukaryota; Metazoa; Chordata; Mammalia; Artiodactyla; Suidae
Description: lncRNA (ENSSSCG00000061238.1)
Source: RNAcentral
CAAAAUAUUGGAUCAGUGAACAUUGGGAAUUUGAUAUGAAAAUUCAUAUAACUGUUGAUGAGGAAGAAGAAAAAAAAGAACAAAACAAAAAAACCCUGUUCAGCAGAGGGGAAGAAAAUGAAACAGAUUUACAGAUUAUGGCAGAGACAAGCAUCAGUGUAGCAUUUGAGAGACUGAGUGUGGCUUGAUUAUAUUUCAUAUUCUGCUCUUAAAUGACCAAACACAGUAAUAUCUGUAAGACAACCAUACUUUUUUUUACACUUGAACAAGUUAGGGUGAGCUUUUACUUGAGUUAUCUUAGUGCAUCUCCUCCCCUGUCCCUCAGCUGCAUAAUUUAAGAUUUGUGUGGUGCUAACAAGUUUGCAUGAUGAAUAGGUUUGAGGCCUCUGAGGCUUUAAGUAUUCUAUUCCCUUUUUUAUAUCAGUCUCAACUUAUGCAUUUAAAAGUAAGGAGGAAAUAGCUUGCCCUUUCCAGGCCAUAGAUUCAGAACUCCAGGUUUCUAAGUUUGGUGUUAUUAGUUUCUUUACUUCCUGGAAAACUUUAUUUCCAUUUACAAAAAGGUUAUGAGACUGACCAAAGCAGAUUCACCCAACCUUUCAGAAGCAUUGUGAAAGGACAAGAGGACGUGGUUUUUUGUUUGUUUUUGUUUUUGUUUUUCACUUUUUAGGGCUGCACAUGUGGCACAUGGAAGUUCCCUAGCUAGGUUCCAAUCGGAGUUGCAGCUGCCAUCCUACACCACAGCCAUUGCAACACAGGAUCUGAGCCAUGUCUGUGACCUACACCAUAGCUCAUGCAAUGCUGGAUCCUUAACCCCCUGAGUGAGGCCAGGGAUCAAACCCACAUCCUCAUGGAUACUAGUCAAGUUUGUUUCUGCCGAGCUAUAACAGGAACUCUGAAGAUGUGUUGUUUUAAGUUAUGUGUUAUUCAAAAAUGUCAUAUUUGUAGUGAUCAUAUUUUCCUAGGGGAUACUGCUGUGGUUGUGGAAUGGACCAUGAGAAGUGAUUGUUCCACUUGACAGUAAAAGGAAGGAAUUCCCUUGUGGUGCAGCAGUUUAAGAAUUUGGUGUUGUCACUGCAGUGGCUCAGGUCACUGCUGUGGCUUGGGUUCAAUCCUGACUGGGAAAAUUCCACAUGCUGCAGUGGCUGAAAUAAUAAUAGUUUUUAAAAAGACAGUAAGAAGAAAAGGCAUGAGGGCUGCUCACAUUUAAUGUUCAAAAUCCUGUCUUUUCAGAACAAAUAGGUUCCUACAAUUUGAAGACCCUUGAGCUAGUAAAUGGAACUGAAAGCUUCUUAGAGCUCCUUGUUGACACCACAUGGUCAUAAACCCUUCAAGACUCUGCAAAGAGGUCGUAAAGCAAAUUGUUCUCUCACAAGUAACCCGAUUAAAGGGAGACAGAGCUUAGACAUCUUGGAGCCUAAUGAGGGUUUUUCGGGGAAAUGAUGCUCCUUUUCUAGAACAAAUGAUAAAUUUUUGUUUUGUGUGAGAAACAGACUUGCUCACAGGAAUAAAGUUAAGGGACAGGUAGGCGCUAUAUUCUAUUUUCAGUGCUGUGGACUGUAAACUAGGAGACUUGAAAUUCCUAAUCUGACACAUUAAACUGGGUGACCUUAGGGAAGCAGACUUAACCACUCUGCUUGUCUCAUUUGUAAGUGAGAAUAUCCACUUAUUCCAUAGUAUAUAUUGAAUAAAUAUUAUUAGUUGCUUUCACCAUUGUAAUCUCACUUCACCCUCGCAAGAAUCCUAUGAAGAAGUCAUUAUUAUUCCUUCAUAUUAAUAAAGAAUCUGAUGCUCACAGGAUUUAAGUGAUUUGCCUGAGUCAUGUAAUUGCUAAAAGUUAUGGUUGUUAAGUGGCAGAGGAAUGACUCAAGCCCGAUUUUCCAAGUCCAGUGGUAUUCCUGCUAUAGGAAGCUGGUCUUUUUAUGGUUCAAUGGAAUUUAUUAACCUAUGUAAUUAUAUUUAUUAAUAUUUGUUAUAUCAUAGAAGUUAUUGCCUAAUUUCCUCUGUAUAAGCUUAUUUUCCCAAUGAAACCAAAAGUUCUUCAAAGGCAAAGAUUCAAAUGUUAAUAUCUUUGUCAUCUGACUCCCCAGUGCCCACAAUACAGAAUACUGAACUUCAUUCAUGUGUUCAUUCAUUGAUUCAACAUCUAGCAAAAUAUUCAUCAAACAGAUAUUGUGUUUCAGUCACUAUUCUUGGCGCCUGGAAUAGAUUAGUGCACAAAACAGAUGAUAUCCUGACCUCAUUCACUUAUAUUCUAGUGGAAGGAGAAGGAAAUAAAUAACAAAUGGCAUAAGUCAUUAAAUACAUUAGGGGUGAUAAGGCAAUAAAAAAGUAGAGCAUGUUAAGGGAGAUUGGGAAAUGUGACAGAAAGGGGAAAUUUGCAAUUUUAAACAAGGGUAUUAGGGUAGGCUUCAUUGACAGCUGCGUAUUUGUUACCUGAAUUCAUUUGGGAGUUUCCCCUGACACCUUCAAGCCUUGGCUUUACUUAUUUAUAAGGCAGAGAUGACACCAGGCUUUAGAACUUUAGAUCAAUAUCUUCCAUAUUCAUCUGCAAAACCACUGGGGGUAAAAGGUGUGAGUGGUCAAGGCACAGCCUGAAUUUAUGUCACGGCCUUUAGAACAGACAGCUUGGUAUCAGGGCAUAGGGCUUAAGGUAAUGCUGACCUUAGCUAGAAAAAACAUGAGUCUGUGAGCCUCACAGAUGUGUAAUCAAUAGUAAGGUAGCUGGUUAUAAGGGAUUUUACACAUCUGUCAGCUAAAUCAGAACCCUAAAGGGCAAAUGCUUCUCUAAAGAACAUUAGCCAGAUUUGUGGUGCUGACUCAAGGAGUUUGGGUCCAUAAACCAGUGCAUGCAUUCAAGGAGCCAUCAGUAUGACAGUUUUUCAUUUGUGACAGUCAUAAUCUUGUUUCAGUCUGGUUUCUAGUUGAUAUUCAUGGGAAAAUGUUGGAUUGGCCAAACCAUCAUCAGAGAUCAUUUUGUUUUUAUUUCAUGCUUUCUUUUUAUUUUUUUCCUAUACUGCUUAUAAUACUUUGCUCUUUGUCCUUGUAUUUUCUCUAUUUUCUGUUUGUUCUCUUCUUAUCUUUGCUUUUCUUUUAAACAUUAUCUGUUUUCUUUCUGGCUUUCCUUCUCUUUCAUUACUAUUCUUUCUCCCUUCCUUCUUCCCUUUCCUAAAUAUUUAUGUGCCCCUAAUAUGUCCUGGGUCAGCAUUGUGCUGUAUGCUGUGACAGUGGUGUACACAGAGAUCCUCCCUUACAGACUGUACUGUCUAUUGUACAAGCUGAUGUUAAACUUUAAACCCACCAUGAGUGAGAAGCCAGAGGUGAAGGGGCAGGUGAUCUAUAUUAAAGAACUGGAAAAUUUUAUAGUGAAAAAAAGAGGAGGCUAAAAGGAGAAUAACAGGGCACCUGUUGUACACCAGGUGAUAGAGAAGGCCUUCCUGACAGAAAUGAAAUUGGAAGAAAAGGAAGGAUUUAUCCAGGCAAUAGCAGGCAGGAACCCUCCAGAGAGAGGGGUCAGUGAGAAGAAAAACACCAGGAAUGACCAUAGCCUAGUGCAGGAGAAACUGUUCAAGGGCCAUUUUAUCUGGAUCACAGUGUGGGAGCAGAGGAUGGCAUAGGCAUAUGGGGAAUUCCAGAGACCUCCAUCCUUUAUAUCCAUUUUGGUUGGGCAUGAAUAAGGUAUUUAUCUCAACAUAUCCUUUGAUUUUUUAAAGUUAUUUUCUGGGAAAAAUGAGUACAAAACAGAACAUGAUGAAAAAAAAUUAAAGGUAAAAUGAGAAGCUUUUGAUGAAGGAGCUGAGAAGUUUAAAUGAGCACUGAACAACUCAAAGUGUCUGCCAUGGUUUUCUGUGGUAUACGAAUUAGCCUAAUUGCUAAGGUACAGGGUGUACCCAUGAUUCACAGUUAUAAGGAUUAAAGAUGUGAACAGGAUUUGCAUGUGUGUGUAGUGUGUGUUUUUGUGUCUGCCAGUGCACAUCUAUGCUGCAGCGUAGCAUUUAUGCCUAAUCAAAUGGUCAAAUCUUUUCAUAAUAAAAUAUUUUCCCAUGCAUUUCUAAAAAUCUUAUUACUUCAGUACUCUAAGUUGUUUUAUAAACUAAAUGCCCUUUUAGAUGAUUUUUCUCUGAAAAUAUUUGCAUCUUUCUAAGAACUAUCAGAAAAUUUAAUACAUAUCUACACACAUGUAUGUUUGUAUAUUAAUUUGUAGAUGAGACCGCUGGGUUAUGGUUUAGUGCUUUCAUUUUGACUGACUUACUGUAGAUGAGUGAUAGAGUACCCAACAAAGUCAAAUAGUUUUGAGAAGCAAAAAUGUCAUAUGUCAUGAAUUAGAUCAUAACAAAAUUCUCUGUAGGUACCAGCAACAAAAUAGAUAUGCAGCUUCAGAAAUAAAUAUGCAUUCUUUCUAGUUGUAGCACUUUAGUUUAAUGGUUUUGCACAGUUUAUGAAGAUAUUUUAUCCAUAAUAUGUCUUUUGAACAGAAUAAUUUAGGAAAUAACUUCACACUACAUUCUUUUCUAGAGAUUGAAUUUAAUUCACUAAAAUUUAAUGAGAAAAUAAAUAAUUCUCUCUUCAUUGAUUCACUUAAGAAAGUAUUAAAAAAAACAAUACCAAGGAGUUCCCAUAGUGGCUCAGCAGUUAAUGAAUCUGACUAGUAUCCAUGAGGAUGCAGGUUCAAUCCCUGGCCUUGCUCAGUGGGUUAAGGAUCAAGUGUUGCCAUGGGCUGAAGUAUAGGCUGCAGAUGCAGCUGAGAUCCUGCAUUGUUGUGGCUAUGGCAUAGGCCAGCAGCUGCAGCUUCAAUUCAACCCAAAGCCUGGGAACCUCCAUAUGCUGCAGGUGUGGCCCU